This 468-nucleotide ribosomal RNA is filed under the name uncultured bacterium. RNAcentral's name for it is "partial 16S ribosomal RNA". It matches the Rfam family "Bacterial small subunit ribosomal RNA", at positions 28 to 507 of the family's 1533-position model. The record is from RNAcentral.
GACGAACGCUGGCGGCGUGCUUAACACAUGCAAGUCGAACGGAAAGGCCCUGCUUUUGUGGGGUGCUCGAGUGGCGAACGGGUGAGUAACACGUGAGUAACCUGCCCUUGACUUUGGGAUAACUUCAGGAAACUGGGGCUAAUACCGGAUAGGAUCUCCUGCUGCAUGGUGGGGGUUGGAAAGUUUCGGCGGUUGGGGAUGGACUCGCGGCUUAUCAGCUUGUUGGUGGGGUAGUGGCUUACCAAGGCUUUGACGGGUAGCCGGCCUGAGAGGGUGAACGGCGACAUUGGGACUGAGAGACGGCGCAGACGGCUACGGGAGGCAGCAGUGGGGAAUAUUGCACAAUGGGCGGAAGCCAGAUGCAGAAACGCCGCGUGCGGGAUGACGGCCUUCGGGUUGUAAACCGCUUUCGACUGUGACGAAGAGUGAGUGACGGUAAUGGGUAAAGAAGCACCGGCUAACUACGUG